UACGUAGGGCGCAAGCGUUGUCCGGAAUUAUUGGGCGUAAAGAGCUCGUAGGCGGCCUGUCGCGUCCGCUGUGAAAUCCCGGGGCUUAACCCCGGGCGUGCAGUGGAUACGGGCUGGCUAGAGGCAGGCAGGGGAGAACGGAAUUCCCGGUGUAGCGGUGAAAUGCGCAGAUAUCGGGAGGAACACCUAUGGCGAAGGCAGCUCGCUGGGACGUUACUGACGCUGAGGAGCGAAAGCGUGGGGAGCGAACAGG
RNAcentral lists this ribosomal RNA (253 nucleotides) under uncultured bacterium. RNAcentral's name for it is "partial 16S ribosomal RNA". It matches the Rfam family "Bacterial small subunit ribosomal RNA", at positions 524 to 776 of the family's 1533-position model. The record is from RNAcentral.